CGGUUUAUUUAAGCGACGCACUUGGGGAUCGCGGCUCCAGAUCAAUGCAACAUAGCGUGAGUUUGCGAUCUCUUCAAGUAUAAAGCUCAAUACAUUUUAAAAGACCCGAAGAGACUAUACAAGUGGGUUCAUGGCCGCUGCAGUGAGUGCACAGACAGACAGAGGUAGGCAGAGCAGAUAGAGAGGAGGACACACCCACACGCGCAGUUUAUUUUCACAUGUCGGCUCUCUGUCAUAGGGCGGCAAUUUUCUUUAGCUAAUUUAGGAUUAGAUAACACAGGUUAUUUUACACACAAACGAGUGUCAGACACCGUUUUAGUAGUGUACAGAAGUGCAUGUUUGCUACUUUAGUGAAUAGGAUGCUCGUAUUCUCCUGCCGACCCGGUGCUGUUUGACACUUUUCCCCCUCCGAGCUGGAUUCACUAACCGGUGUGUUUUCUUACCGGGGGGAAGUUCGGCUCAUUUGAACUUUUCUGGCCGUAGCCUACUUUUGCCACGGAAAUGGGACCGCGCCAACGGGAGAGCGUGUCCGCGCUUUGUAGUAAAAGUUUGCUUUGGACUGUGCUGAUACUCUGGCUGACCAUGUUUGUUGACGGGACCUGGAAGACGGGACAGCAGUCUCUCACUCCUCAGUCUAUCAGAAAAGGCUACUCUGGUUCUUUCGGUUUUUCCUUGAAGCUCCAGAUUAUUAUGACUCCAGGAAUGUCGUAUUCCCUCUCUCAUCAUUAAUGUUGCUGUACGCCUUGAGAUUGCUUUUAGCUUUGAAAGGUGUGUGCGCACGUGUGUGUGUGAGUCAGCUGCGAAGCCCCGCCCUUCGCAAAACGGAGCGCAGCGCCCCUCCAAGACAAUGGUAGGGGAAACACUGAUGUCUAUGGAGUGGGCAAUUACAGAGAGGUUAACCCCGCUCCUUUCACAAUCAUCACUUUCCCAUUCCUGUUCGCUGUGAUGUUUGGGGAUCUGGGUCACGGAGCUAUCAUGGCUGCAUUUGCUCUCUGGAUGGUGCUGUACGAGAACAACCGCAAACUUAAAAACACCAGGAAUGAG
Molecule: long non-coding RNA, 1044 nt
Organism: Cottoperca gobio
Lineage: Eukaryota; Metazoa; Chordata; Actinopteri; Perciformes; Bovichtidae
Exons: 4
Source: RefSeq, a predicted model, not a curated record